GGAGCAGUUGCAGAUGAUUGACAC
This 24-nucleotide non-coding RNA is filed under the name Arabidopsis thaliana (thale cress). Lineage: Eukaryota; Viridiplantae; Streptophyta; Magnoliopsida; Brassicales; Brassicaceae. The record is from RNAcentral.